Molecule: long non-coding RNA, 418 nt
Filed under: Olea europaea (common olive)
Lineage: Eukaryota; Viridiplantae; Streptophyta; Magnoliopsida; Lamiales; Oleaceae
Description: long non-coding RNA (OEUR_LNC005369)
Source: RNAcentral
CGCAAAGCAAAAUUAUAUUUGUAAUACAAGUGAGAUAUAUUCGAAAUAAUAUAGUAAAAGAAAAAAGUCAUAGCGAACAAACAGAAAAUGUUAAACGCAAAGUCGAACACUUAAUGUUCGAAAAGCCUGUCAUCAAUAAAUAAAUAAUGCUUAAUGUAAUAAAAGUAACAGAUCCAAAUAAGAAUCCUGUCCUCAACUCCGACGGAGCAAACAAGAAUCUGGUCCUGAACUCGUAAAUAAUAAACUCUGCACGGAAAAAUAACUUGUCCAAGCUUGUAGAAGCUAAAAAGCUAGAACAAGGAGGGCUCUGGUACUGUAGUCUGUAUCUAAUGAAUUAGAAUUGUAACUAUAAAUUAAAAUUUUCUACUUGGCGGAGCCAUUGGUUAAUCCAGUAGAUGGGUUGAGCUCGUCCCACUCU